AUGACUUUCAACGAUGGAUGUCUUGGCUCUCGCAACGAUGAAGAACGCAGCGAAAUGCGAUACGUAAUGCGAAUUGCAGACUCAGUGAAUCAUCAAAUCUUUGAACGCACAUUGCACUUUCGGACGUUGUUCGGGAGUAUUCCUGCAUGAGUGUUUG
Molecule: ribosomal RNA, 157 nt
Filed under: Schizochytrium aggregatum
Lineage: Eukaryota; Bigyra; Thraustochytrida; Thraustochytriidae
Description: 5.8S ribosomal RNA
Rfam family: 5.8S ribosomal RNA
About the family: 5.8S ribosomal RNA (5.8S rRNA) is a component of the large subunit of the eukaryotic ribosome. It is transcribed by RNA polymerase I as part of the 45S precursor that also contains 18S and 28S rRNA.
Source: RNAcentral